RNAcentral lists this ribosomal RNA (482 nucleotides) under uncultured bacterium. RNAcentral describes it as "bacterial SSU rRNA". It matches the Rfam family "Bacterial small subunit ribosomal RNA", at positions 30 to 507 of the family's 1533-position model. The record is from RNAcentral.
AUUGAACGCUGGCGGAAUGCUUUACACAUGCAAGUCGAACGGCAGCACGGGGCAACCUGGUGGCGAGUGGCGAACGGGUGAGUAAUAUAUCGGAACGUGCCCAGUCGUGGGGGAUAACGCAGCGAAAGCUGUGCUAAUACCGCAUACGAUCUACGGAUGAAAGCGGGGGAUCGCAAGACCUCGCGCGAUUGGAGCGGCCGAUAUCAGAUUAGGUAGUUGGUGGGGUAAAGGCCCACCAAGCCAACGAUCUGUAGCUGGUCUGAGAGGACGACCAGCCACACUGGAACUGAGACACGGUCCAGACUCCUACGGGAGGCAGCAGUGGGGAAUUUUGGACAAUGGGCGCAAGCCUGAUCCAGCAAUGCCGCGUGCAGGAUGAAGGCCUUCGGGUUGUAAACUGCUUUUGUACGGAACGAAAAGGCUCUGGUUAAUACCUGGGGCUCAUGACGGUACCGUAAGAAUAAGCACCGGCUAACUACGUG